GCUUGUAGCUCAGGUGGUUAGAGCGCACCCCUGAUAAGGGUGAGGUCGGUGGUUCAAGUCCACUCAGGCCUACCAAA
This 77-nucleotide transfer RNA is filed under the name Escherichia coli. RNAcentral describes it as "tRNA-Ile". It matches the Rfam family "tRNA". From Rfam's summary of the family: Transfer RNA (tRNA) molecules are approximately 80 nucleotides in length. Their secondary structure includes four short double-helical elements and three loops (D, anti-codon, and T loops). The record is from RNAcentral. Lineage: Bacteria; Pseudomonadati; Pseudomonadota; Gammaproteobacteria; Enterobacterales; Enterobacteriaceae.